This 700-nucleotide long non-coding RNA is filed under the name Mytilus galloprovincialis (Mediterranean mussel). The record is from RNAcentral. Lineage: Eukaryota; Metazoa; Mollusca; Bivalvia; Mytilida; Mytilidae.
AACUUUUUUAGCUCACCUGGCCCAAAGGGCCAAGUGAGCUUUUCCCAUCACUUUGCGUCCGGCGUCAUCCGGCGUCGUUGUUAACUUUUACAAAAAUCUUCUCCUCUGAAACUGCUGGGCCAAAUUAAACCAAACUUGUCCACAAUCAUCAUUGGGGUAUCUAGUUUAAAAACUGUGUCCGGUGACCCGGCCAACCAACCAAGAUGGCCGCCAUGGCUAAAAAUAGAACAUAGGGGUAAAAUGCAGUUUUUGGCUUAUAACUCAAAAAUCAAAGCAUUUAGAGCAAAUCUGACAUGGGGGGUAAUAUUGUUCAUCAGGUCAAGAUCUAUCUGCCCUGAAAUUUUCAGAUGAAUUGGACAUUUCGUUGUUGGGUUGCUGCCCCUGAAAUGGUAAUUUUAAGGAAAUUUUGCUGUUUUUGGUUAUUAUCUUGAAUAUUAUUAUAGAUAGAGAUAAACUGUAAACAGGAAUAAUGUUCAGCAAAGUAAGAUUUACAAAUAAGUCAGCAUGACGGAAAUGGUCAGUUGACCCCUUUAGGAGUUAUUGCCCUUUAUAGUCAAUUUUUAACCAUUUUUCGUAAAUCUUAGUAAUCUUUUACAAAAAUCUUCUCCUCUGAAACUACUGGGCCAAAUUGAACCAAACUUGGCCAUAAUCAUCAUUUGUGUAUCUAGUUUUAAAAAUGUGUCCGGUGACCCGCCCAACC